RNAcentral lists this long non-coding RNA (7855 nucleotides) under Arabidopsis thaliana (thale cress). RNAcentral describes it as "long non-coding RNA (ATHA_LNC000471)". The record is from RNAcentral. Lineage: Eukaryota; Viridiplantae; Streptophyta; Magnoliopsida; Brassicales; Brassicaceae.
UGAGAAUCCAUUAUAUGUUUUUCUUUUCAAAGUGUAAAGGUAAAUCUUGCAUUGAGUAUUACCAAGUCAAUCAACAAACAAAGAAUGCAAAAUGACAAAUGCAAAUUUGUUUCGUAAUGGAAUUUGUUUUAGCUUAGAUUAAUUAAUUGAAAAGUCCCAAACUGUAAAUUGUAUUAUUGGUGAUUUUUGUUUAACAUCUCUAAAUUGUUUAUUUGGUUCAGCCCUUCAUGCCGAUGCUGUCUCCCACUUUGACCCUCUUGGAGCUCUGGAAUAUCCCAAAUUUAGUAGAGCUUUCGUCCUCAUUUCAGAAUCUCAAUAACCUUGAGAGGUUGGACAUUUGUUACUGCAGAAAUCUGGAGUCUCUACCCACCGGAAUCAACCUCGAAUCUCUCGUUUCCCUUAAUCUCUUUGGAUGCUCACGGUUGAAGCGCUUUCCUGAUAUCUCAACCAACAUCAAAUAUCUCGAUCUAGACCAAACUGGGAUUGAAGAGGUUCCUUGGCAGAUCGAGAACUUCUUUAACCUCACUAAGCUAACUAUGAAAGGUUGCCGCGAGCUAAAAUGUGUAUCCCUAAACAUUUUUAAACUCAAACAUCUUGGGGAAGUUAGCUUUUCCAAUUGCGGGGCAUUGACCAGAGUUGAUUUGAGUUGCUAUCCAAGUGGGGUGGAGAUGAUGAAGGCAGACAAUGCUGACAUAGUUUCUGAGGAGACCACCUCUUCUCUUCCUGAUAGUUGCGUCCUCAAUGUCAAUUUCAUGGAUUGCGUCAAUCUGGAUCGAGAACCUGUCCUUCACCAACAGUCGAUUAUUUUCAACUCCAUGAUAUUGCCAGGUGAAGAAGUGCCAUCAUAUUUCACUUACCGAACAUCUGACUCUCAACCAUUUGGAACGUCUUCCUCUCUGCCCAUCCCUCUACUUCCCACACAACUCUCUCAACCAUUCUUCAGAUUUAGGGUUUGUGCAGUGGUAAGUGCUUCCAAUGGAGUAUAUAUCGGGGUAUAUAGUCGGUUCAAAGGCAGAAUUGGGAACAAAUUUGAUUCCUUUGGUGAGCUACAUAAAUUCAUGGAAAUUGAGAAGGGUAUUCAUCUGUGUAUAUUUGACUGUCGUAUCCGUCUAUACAAAGAUAAUGUUCCUCUAUCUCAACUGAACUAUGAUCAUGUGGAUAUAAAUAUUCAUAUAACUAGUGGAGAUUGGAGAUCUACGGUCGUUUUAAAAGAAUGGGGUAUACGACUCUUAGAGGACUGUUCAUCAGCGGAGAACCGACUUGGUAAUCCAAACAGUACUCUUCCACAUGUUUGUGUAGAGGAUGAAGAAAAUUUGGUUAAUGGGACUGAACAAGGUGAUAGAGGUGAUGUAGUGACGGAGACAAGCAGUAAACAGAAUGAAGACGUUAUCCUUCUGCAACGAUCAGCUGAUUCCAUGUUCUCUAGGAUGUCAGGAAAAGAAAUGAUUUCAUAUUUCACUCAUCGCACUACUGGAACCUCUCUAACCAACAUACCUCUACCUCACACCUCUCCCUCGCAACCGUUCUUCAGAUUUAAAGCUUUCGCAGUGGUUGGUUGCAAAUCUUCUGGUCAGUUUUCAUAUUUUGUCACCCAUAUUUCUUGUCGAUUCAAAGAUGGAUUUGAGAAUCAACCACGUAGGCUUUAUAAAGCUGAGAAUGGUAACCACCUUGACAUAUAUGAGUGCUCUUUCCCUCUAUACCAAGGUAAUGCUUCUCCAGCUGAAAUGAACUAUGAUCGCGUGGAUAUACAGCUUCAUUUAAGGUAUAGAAGUGACUCUACGGUCAGAUUAAUAGUAUGGGGUAUACGCCUCAUCGAGGACUGUUCAUCAUCCGAGAACCAACUUGGUUAUCUAAAUACUCUGUAGCAUGUUCGUGAAGACAGUGAAACGGUGAGAGUGCCAAAAGUUCCAAGAGGCUCAAGACAUUGAGAUAGGCUAUGAGACUGAUCAGAGUGAAGAGCGUGGAUACAGAGUGAUGAUAUUGGUAUAGACAGUGAGACUGAUCAGUUUGAAGAGUGUGGAAAUAGUGAUAUAGGCCAUGAGAUUGAUCAGAGUGAAGAAUGUGAAGACAUGGACGAUACUGGUGGUAUAUGCAUUGGGAUUGAUCAGAGUGAAGAGCGAGGAGACAGUGAUGAAUAGUGAUAGUGGCAGUGAGACUGAUCACUUUGAAGAGUGCGAAGAUAGUGAUAUAGGCAAUGAGAUUGAUCAGAGUGACUAAUGAGAUUGAAUACAAUGAAGAGAGUAGAGACAGAGAGAACCAGUACACAAUGGCAGGUAAGUAUUAAUCAAGAACUGAACAGAAUAACAGAUAUCUCGCCGUCAGGAUCUUUAAUAUUAUAAAUCACUGAGUUGUUUUCUUUUGCUUGCAGAUUAUGUGAAAAAGAAAUGAAUCUUUGAGAUACUUUUGUGGUGAUGGAAUGAGUAGUUUUGCUGCCGGUUCUAUGGAACAACAAGAAGAGCCCAAGAUUCCUCAUUGUCUCCCUAGCUAGACAGACAUUUUCAGGUGACCCAAAAAAACUCAUAAACCAUUUCAUUUUAGUUCCACAUCAAUUGUAAAUACAGAGCAUAUAUAUAGUAGCAUGCUUUUGAAUUUCUGAUUGUCUGGUUAUAGACUUUUUAUUAUAUAGAUAUUUGGCUGUAUUCAAUUGAUAAAUUUCACAGCCAUCAAUGUUGUUCACUGCUUGGUUAAAGACUUUGAUAUUAUCUAUUAUGGGAUAAUUAGAUACAUGUGUGCUAGUAUUAUGAGGCAUAUAUUUCAAAAAAAAGUCGUGAUGUAGUUACAAAAAUUGAUGGAAUUCAAGCCACUGGUUUUUAAUUAGAUUAUAAAGCUGAAGGAAUGGAAUUGUCUCAAAUGGCAGAUGAAGAUGGUACUGUUCAUGUCAAUGUUUUAUAAUUUUUUGUUUUUUUUCUUAGGUUGCACGUUUGUGAUAAGCUUAUUUCAUUACUAUAACGAUUUAAUUUCUGAAGAACUAUUUGUGUUAUUUGUGUUCACAAGAAUUUGCUGUCUGGAACAAAGUUUUACAGUGUACCUGAAUUGAGUUUUCUUUUAUUCGUUUUCGGAUUUCACUCUCCACUAGUUGAAAAAGGUCUGAGGCUUUCUAGAUUGUUUCAAACUUCGUUAGGAACAUGAAAAUUUGCAUCUAGACAAUGCCCUGUGGUAUCUGGUAAUCAAAAUUCUGUUUCUGGUUACUUCGUUUUUACAUGGGCAGAAAGUGAAUCUCCUACAGGUCUUGCGACACAGUUAGCUUUUGAUUUGAUAAGCUUACUGUUACUUUAACCCUGUUGACAUUUCUCACCUAUGUCAUUCGUUUGAAAGCUUGUUUUGAUUCUCUAAUGAUAUGCUUAACUUUCAUUCUCUGAUGAUUCUUUUGUCUUGCAAUUGUUAUUGUUCAGGAAAGCUGGAGGAAGUCACUUUGAUGACCAAUGUUGGUUACGGAUCUGACAAGAUAUUAAUGUAAGAAUAAGAGGCUAUGGACAUGGUUUUUACUUGAGUGGUGGCGAUUAAGUCCAAAUCUAAAAGAGAUGAUUAAGUCAAGAUCCAGCAGAAAAGAGGAAACUUUCGUUAAGGUGUAUGACAACAGUGGUGCAAUUGCUAAUGUUUGUGAAUUGGUCUUUUUUCUUAUUAGGGAUAUAUAAUGAAGCAAGCAUGAUUGAAGAAAUCGCCAAGUCUUAAUCGGCUCACGUUAGGUGGUGGAAAGACGACGCAUUGCAAAAGUUUUGCAGGCUGACGAAAAAAGAGGAGAAUGGAGAUCAAUUGGAAGAGGUUCUUCUUAUUUGAUUGGUUAAUUUUUCUUUUCUUUCUAUAUUUAGAUAUACAUGGUGACACCCAUUAUUGUCCAAUUUGUCCCUUUUUUCUGUUUCUUUUGAGACCAUGUCUAUAUAUGAGAAUUGAGAAUCUUACAAUUAAAUAUUUUGAACUAAUAAGUCUUUUAUUUUGUUUCCAACUCAUGUGUUUAACUAAGUCCUAAGCUAACACUAGAUUUUUUUUAAAAGAAAUUUGGUUUUCCUCCACAGUAUUUUUAUUGUUUUUUGUGGACUUGACCACAAAACUUCAAAAGACUCGGAAGAAAAUUAAACAAAUAUUAUGCACAAUUUCGCACCACUCAAUGCCUUGCCUCCCCUACCUAAAAUGUUGACAAUGUCGUCUUAUUCUUUAUGUCAAGCACGAUGAUGUGUCUGACUUUAAGUAAUUUACAUUUUUUAAAAAUUCGUGAUAGAUAUUCUCCCAAAUUCUUUCAAAUAUCAUAGGCUUUAAGAUGUUACCAACUACCAAGUCUCCUAAAAAGACCAAAAAGUCUCCUUAGAUAUUUAUCAAACUCUUUGAUGUUUUGUUGCUCGUUCCUUCGUUCACAGUUUCCUGAUUUAACAGUGGCCAGUAGGAUAAUGAUUACGUUGCUUCACUUUUCACUGUUACUGUGGAAUUGCUUGGUAAUUUCGAAAACUUGUAUCCUUAUUAAGAAUUUGUAAAAAGUUUUGCAACUUCGUAUUGUACAUCUUUAUUAAGAAUUUGUAAAUGAAUGAUAUACAGUAGUAAAGACAAGAGGCUAUGAAAUAUGGUUAUGACGAUUGAGUCAACAAAGAGGAAACUUCCGCCAAGUAAAAGUCUAAGAAAUAAUUGUGAAAACUUGUAUGGCCAAGUUACCUCUCAGCUGUUAUGUUAAAUGUUUUAUAUCCACCAAGACAGACUCACUACUUGUCCUCUAUUUCUCUUCUUAAAAUCUCAAUCUCCAAAGUCUUCGUUUCUAGUUUCCUCCUUCUAACUCUCUCUAUGGCUUCUUCAUCUUCUUCUCGCAAUUGGGUUUAUGAUGUUUUCUUGAGCUUCAGUGGGAAAGACGUCCGCGUAACAUUCCGUAGCCACUUUCUCAAAGAGCUUGAUCGGAAACUGAUCUCUGCUUUCAGAGACAAUGAGAUCGAGAGAAGCCACUCUCUUUGGCCCGAUCUUGAACAAGCGAUCAAGGACUCCAGAAUCGCAGUGGUCGUUUUCUCCAAAAACUACGCUUCGUCGAGCUGGUGUCUUAACGAGUUGCUGGAGAUUGUGAACUGCAAUGAUAAAAUUAUCAUACCGGUUUUCUACGGUGUGGAUCCUUCCCAAGUGAGGUAUCAAAUCGGUGAAUUUGGAAGUAUCUUUGAAAAGACUUGCAAGAGACAAACAGAGGAAGUGAAAAAUCAAUGGAAGAAAGCGUUGACUGAUGUAGCUAAUAUGCUUGGAUUUGAUUCUGCCAAAUGGUAUGAUUUUUAUACCAAAUUCAUUAUUAGAUACAUCUUGAAAUAAAAUUGUUGUUUCAUAUUUCUUAAAUUAUCUUUCACCUUAUUAGGGAUGACGAAGCAAAAAUGAUUGAAGAAAUAGCCAAUGAUGUUUUGGCUAAACUGCUUUUAACUUCAUCCACGGAUUCUGCUGAGAACUCUAUUGGCAUUGAAGAUCAUAUUGCAAAUAUGAGUGUAUUGUUGAAAUUGGAAGCUGAGGAAGUGAGAAUGGUUGGUAUAUGGGGUUCCUCGGGGAUUGGUAAGACUACCAUUGCAAGAGCUCUGUUUAACCAACUUUCUCGGCAUUUCCCAGUUAGCAAAUUCAUAGACAGAGCUUUUGUAUAUAAGAGUAGAGAAACUUACAAGGGCGCCAAUCCGGACGACCCGAACAUGAAGUUGCACUUGCAAGGAUGUUUCCUAUCGGAAAUUUUGGGGAAAAAAGACAUAAAGAUUGAUCAUUUAGGUGCACUGGGAGAGAGGCUAAAGCACCAGAAAACUCUCAUCAUCAUUGAUGAUUUGGAUGAUCUAGUGGUACUAGAUUCAUUGGUGGGUAAAACUAAUUGGUUUGGAUGUGGGAGCAGGAUCAUAGUGAUUACCAAUAAUAAGCAAUUCUUAAGGGCCCAUGGAAUUGAUCAUAUUUACGAAGUUAGUCUCCCUUCUAAAGAGCGCGCUCAAGAGAUGUUUUGUCAGUCUGCUUUCGGGGAAAACUCUCCACCUGAAGGUUUUGAGGAGCUCGUAGUUGAAAUUGCAUGGCUUGCUGGUAGUCUUCCUUUGGGUCUUACUGUUUUUGGUUCAGCUCUACGAGGGAGAAAAAAGGAGUACUGGGUGAAGAUGUUGCCAAGGCUUCAAAAUGAUCUAGAUGGCAAUAUUGAGGAGACAUUGAAAGUCAGCUAUGAUGCGAUAGGCAACGUAAAAGAUCAAGCGUUAUUCCGUCUUAUCGCAUGUCUUUUCAAUCACGUCAAAGUCAGAGACAUUGAAUUGUUGCUCGCAGAUAGUGGCUUAGAUGUAAAUAUUGCACUGGAAAACCUAGUUGAUAAGUCCCUUAUUCAUGUCAGAAAUGAUCAUGUGGAGAUGCACCGUUUGCUACAAGAAACGGGUAGAAAUAUUGUACGCUCACAGUCCACUGACAACCCAGGAGAACGAGAAUUUCUGGUGGAUUCAAACGAUAGUCGUACUGUACUCAGUGAAGGCAUUGUAAGUCUUUUUUUUAGUUGUGCUACUUUCAGUAUACGAGGUUAAGAAAGUGCCAUUUGAUGAAUCAUGAAUUGUAUGGUUUUGUCUCUAUCUCACUAAUAUCAUAUUUUUCAGGGUACUCGAAAGGUGCUAGGAAUAUCAUUGGAUACAAGUAAGGUUAGUGAGUUUUGUGUACAUGAGAAUGCCUUCAAAGGGAUGGGUAAUCUCCUUUUCUUGGAUAUUUCCUCGAAGACUUUUAUAGAAGAAGAAGUCAAAGUGCAUUUACCGGAAAAAAUAAACUAUUAUUCCGUUCAACCCAAACAAUUGAUUUGGGAUAGAUUUCCACUGAAAUGUAUGCCUUAUACUUUUCUUCGAAACCUCGUCAAGCUCGAAAUGCAUGACAGCAAGCUAGAGAAGCUGUGGGAAGGAGCUAUGGUAAGGUUUAAGAAUAAAUUGUUAAUGCUAAUUGUAGUUUUUAAAUGACGUGAUGUGUAAUUUCAACUGAGCUCUGCGUUUAUUUUUGUCUGAGUACAGUCAUUUACAUGUCUAAAGGAAUUGGAUAUGUGGGCAUCUAAAUACCUGAAAGAAAUCCCAGAUCUUUCAAAGGCCACUAACAUUGAGAAACUUGACUUUGGACAUUGCUGGAGUUUGGUGGAGCUUCCUUCCUCUAUACGAAAUCUCAAUAAACUGUUGGAAUUGAAUAUGGAAUACUGCGGUGAAUUGGAGACUCUUCCUACGGGUUUCAACCUCAAAUCCCUGGACUACCUCAAUUUCAAUGAAUGCUGGAAGUUGAGGACUUUUCCUGAAUUCGCAACCAACAUCUCAAAUCUCAUUCUGGCAGAAACAUCUAUUGAAGAAUACCCUUCCAAUUUGUAUUUCAAGAAUGUCCGUGAGCUAAGCAUGGGGAAAGCGGAUAGUGAUGAGAAUAAAUGCCAAGGAGUGAAGGUAUAUGUAGUUCUCUCCAAUAUCAUGAGAAUCCAUUAUAUGUUUUUCUUUUCAAAGUGUAAAGGUAAAUCUUGCAUUGAGUAUUACCAAGUCAAUCAACAAACAAAGAAUGCAAAAUGACAAAUGCAAAUUUGUUUCGUAAUGGAAUUUGUUUUAGCUUAGAUUAAUUAAUUGAAAAGUCCCAAACUGUAAAUUGUAUUAUUGGUGAUUUUUGUUUAACAUCUCUAAAUUGUUUAUUUGGUUCAGCCCUUCAUGCCGAUGCUGUCUCCCACUUUGACCCUCUUGGAGCUCUGGAAUAUCCCAAAUUUAGUAGAGCUUUCGUCCUCAUUUCAGAAUCUCAAUAACCUUGAGAGGUUGGACAUUUGUUACUGCAGAAAUCUGGAGUCUCUACCCACCGGAAUCAACCUCGAAUCUCUCGUUUCCCUUAAUCUCUUUGGAUGCUCACGGUUGAAGCGCUUUCCUGAUAUCUCAACCAACAUCAAAUAUCUCGAUCU